RNAcentral lists this ribosomal RNA (468 nucleotides) under uncultured bacterium. RNAcentral describes it as "partial 16S ribosomal RNA". It matches the Rfam family "Bacterial small subunit ribosomal RNA", at positions 28 to 507 of the family's 1533-position model. The record is from RNAcentral.
GACGAACGCUGGCGGCGUGCUUAACACAUGCAAGUCGAACGGAAAGGCCCUGCUUUUGCGGGGCGCUCGAGUGGCGCACGGGUGAGUAUCACGUGAGUAAACUGCCCCUGUCAUUCGGAUAUCUUCUGGAAACUGGGGCUAAUACCGGAUAGGAGCUGCUGCACCAUGGUGGGGGUUGGAAAGAUUCGGCGGUUGGGGAUGGUCUAGCGGCUUAUCAGCCUGUUGGUGGGGUUGUGGCGUACCAAGGCUUUGACGGAUAGCCGGCCUGAGAGGGUGGCCGGCGACAUUGGGACUGAGGGACGGCCCAGACUCCUACGGGAGGCAGCAGGGGGGAAUAUUGCGCAAUGGGCGGAAGCCUGAUGCAGCAACGCCGCGUGCGGGAUGACGGCCUUCGGGUGGUAAACCGCUGUCGCCGGUGACGAAGCGUGAGUGACGGUAAUGGGUAAAGAAGCACCGGCUAACUACGUG